Molecule: long non-coding RNA, 1853 nt
Organism: Pseudophryne corroboree (corroboree frog)
Lineage: Eukaryota; Metazoa; Chordata; Amphibia; Anura; Myobatrachidae
Exons: 4
Source: RefSeq, a predicted model, not a curated record
GGACCAUGGGGACAAUUGGACCUGACAGCUAUCUCAGCCGUGUUGCUCAAUGAUGUGCAACUUUGUCACAGAUACUUGUUGAAAAAAGCAGUACUGGUCGUCCUACAGUCACUCCCAUCACAUCUGAUGAUGAUGACGCUGCGGAAGCAGGUCCAUCCAAAGAAGUCUUAAGCAGCAGAAGGCGCACUUCUGGAACACAUCACAAAAAACAUCUGCCAGCAAAGAAAGCAAGGUCUGAUAUCCAGGGCCAACCACAGCAGGCUACCCCGCCACGAAGAUUAUCUACUGUUUGUUCGGUGCCCCCACUCCAAAUUUUGGACACACCUCCAAGACGACAACCACACUCCCCUGAUCUUGAUUCUUCUAGUCCUGGUACCAGCAUCCCUCUGCAACAACAGCAACACAGUGACAUGGAUGACACAAUCAUGUUAGAAAUGCAUCCAGUAAGCGAAGGAUCAGCCCCCCAGCACCUGUGAGUACUCCCCCACAGCAAAGCACACCACCAACCCAACACAGCCCAACAACACCAGUAACACAAGUACCAGAUCAAGUGUUCUGGACCAUUUGGGCUAGACAGCAGGCCACUAAUGAAGAUUGCCUGCGUAGGCAGACCCAAAUGUUUGCAAGCCUACCAUCUCACCUCAGACGAAUCAGCAGAAAUCUGAGUAGACAAAAUGAAACAAACACAAGAAUUGCAAAUACCAUGAAAAUCAUACGUGCAGACAUUACACAUGUCAUGGGCAACUUACAGCGCAUAAUGGAAGAACAGCACAGACAACAGCAAAGCUAUAUAAACAUUUUAGAAAGCAAUCAAAUGAUCAAUGAAUCCAUGUCCAGAAUUGUAGACAAUCAAAAUGCUGCAACACGUGAACUCAAUGCCACCCUCAGUAACCUCAAUGAAACACUCAAAUUUCUGCAGCAACAGCAACCAAGCAGCAGUUCUGGUACGACUACUCCAAAUGUAACGUCAGUGUCAUCACCCACAAGGCGCUCCACCAGAGCACGCCAACACGACAGUGGUAAAGGCAAAGGCCAGGACAAGCAACUACCCAAAUAAACAUAAAAAAAAAAACACACCCAUUUCUUUAAAGAGAAGAGAAAAAAACACUUACCAAGUGUAUGAUUAACAGAAUAUAUAUAACACUUAGCUCCUUGACAAUUUGUACAACAUCAUUAAUUAUAACUGGUACAAACAACAAAAGGAAUUUUGAACACACAUUUCUUCUUUACCAUCUUUGUAUUUUUUGUUAGCAGGAAACUUGUUUGAGCUGCACAUAGAUGUUAGCAUGCAGAAAGCAGACCACUUGAUUUUUUUCUAAUCAUUACUCUUUCUAGAUUCUAAUCAUUCUUUGAGCCUGCAGACAGACUAAUUGGCAGCCAGGCAGAUUGUCUUAAGCAGGCAGAAAGCAGACCACUUGAUUUUUUUCUAAUCAUUACUCUUUCUAGAUUCUAAUCAUUCUUUGAGCCAGCAGACAGACUAAUUGGCAGCCAGGCAGAUUCAUCCACGACCAAUACAAUUUACAAUGUGAAUUGUAACUGUUUUACAUUUCUUCUCUAGACGAAUUGACAAGAAAAACACAAUUGAGUUGGCUAAAAGUGUCCUAAUAUGUUGGGAGUAAUAUUUAGAUAAUUCAGUCCAAAAAUGACUGACAUUAUUGUUGUGCCAUGUUUGUGUGUGUUAAAAAUAAGUAAUCAGAUUUAAAAACAUGAUGCAGAAACAACAUUUGAAAUAUUUGAAAGUUGAACACAAAUGUGUGUAAUAAUGGAUAUAUGUUGUUAAAUGUGUAUUGCCUUACAAAUCUACAAUUUUUGGCCAGCAAACAUAAGGAAAUAAAUUAUUUUGCAUGAGAGAA